AACGCGAAGAACCUUACCUGGUCUUGACAUCCACGGAAGUUUUCAGAGAUGAGAAUGUGCCUUCGGGAACCGUGAGACAGGUGCUGCAUGGCUGUCGUCAGCUCGUGUUGUGAAAUGUUGGGUUAAGUCCCGCAACGAGCGCAACCCUUAUCCUUUGUUGCCAGCGGUCCGGCCGGGAACUCAAAGGAGACUGCCAGUGAUAAACUGGAGGAAGGUGGGGAUGACGUCAAGUCAUCAUGGCCCUUACGACCAGGGCUACACACGUGCCACAAUGGCGCAUACAAAGAGAAGCGACCUCGCGAGAGCAAGCGGACCUCAUAAAGUGCGUCGUAGUCCGGAUUGGAGUCUGCAACUCGACUCCAUGAAGUCGGAAUCGCUAGUAAUCGUGGAUCAGAAUGCCACGGUGAAUACGUUCCCGGGCCUUGUACACACCG
Molecule: ribosomal RNA, 434 nt
Filed under: uncultured bacterium
Lineage: Bacteria
Description: bacterial SSU rRNA
Rfam family: Bacterial small subunit ribosomal RNA
Source: RNAcentral